CCAAUGGCACUGCCCGGUAGCUACGUUCGGAACUGAUAAGCGCUGAAAGCAUCUAAGCGCGAAGCAGGCCUCGAGAUGAGUUCUCACUAGACUUUUAAAGUCUCUGAAGGGCCGUUGAAGACUACAACGUUGAUAGGCAGGAUGUGGAAGUGGUGCGAGCCAUUAAGCUAACCUGUACUAAUUACCCGUGAGGCUUAACCAUACAACGCCAAACGCGUUU
This 220-nucleotide ribosomal RNA is filed under the name Pseudoalteromonas sp. UCD-33C. Its description in RNAcentral is "partial 23S ribosomal RNA". It matches the Rfam family "Bacterial large subunit ribosomal RNA", at positions 2729 to 2925 of the family's 2925-position model. The record is from RNAcentral. Lineage: Bacteria; Pseudomonadati; Pseudomonadota; Gammaproteobacteria; Alteromonadales; Pseudoalteromonadaceae.